This 254-nucleotide ribosomal RNA is filed under the name uncultured bacterium. RNAcentral's name for it is "partial 16S ribosomal RNA". It matches the Rfam family "Bacterial small subunit ribosomal RNA", at positions 524 to 776 of the family's 1533-position model. The record is from RNAcentral.
GACGUAGGGCGCGAGCGUUGUCCGGAUUUAUUGGGCGUAAAGAGCUCGUAGGCGGCUUGUCGCGUCGACUGUGAAAACCCGUGGCUCAACCAUGUGGUCUGCAGUCGAUACGGGCAGGCUAGAAUUCGGUAGGGGAGAUUGGAAUUCCUGGUGUAGCGGUGAAAUGCGCAGAUAUCAGGAGGAACACCGGUGGCGAAGGCGGGUCUCUGGGCCGAUAUUGACGCUGAGGAGCGAAAGCGUGGGGAGCAAACAGG